Pelobates cultripes (western spadefoot toad) is the source of this 206-nucleotide non-coding RNA. NCBI's taxonomy places the organism in Eukaryota, Metazoa, Chordata, Amphibia, Anura, Pelobatidae. The record is from the annotation of a GenBank genome assembly.
CACAAACACACAUCAUCCCACACACACACACCAUCCAGCACACACACACACAUCAUCCAGCACACACACACACAUCAUCCAGCACACACACCCAUCAUCCAGCACACAAACACCCACCAUCCAGCACUCACACAAACACCCAUCAUCCAGCACUCACACAAACACCCAUCAUCCAGCACUCACACACACACCCAUCAUCCAGCACU